Non-coding RNA from Pangasianodon gigas (Mekong giant catfish), 73 nucleotides. Lineage: Eukaryota; Metazoa; Chordata; Actinopteri; Siluriformes; Pangasiidae. The record is from the annotation of a GenBank genome assembly.
GGCACAGUGAUUUAGUGGUUAGCAUGUUUGCCUCGCACCUCCAGGGUUGGGGGCUCGAUUUCCACCUCUGCCC